CUGCAACUCGCCUGCAUGAAGUUGGAAUUGCUAGUAAUCGCGAAUCAGAAUGUCGCGGUGAAUACGUUCCCGGGCCUUGUACACACCGCCCGUCACACCAUGAGAGUCGAUAACACCCGAAGCCUGUGAGCUAACCGCAAGGAGGCAGCAGUCGAAGGUGGGGUUGAUGAUUGGGGUGAAGUCGUAACAAGGUAAC
Molecule: ribosomal RNA, 196 nt
Filed under: uncultured bacterium
Lineage: Bacteria
Description: partial 16S ribosomal RNA
Rfam family: Bacterial small subunit ribosomal RNA
Source: RNAcentral